This 584-nucleotide ribosomal RNA is filed under the name uncultured bacterium. RNAcentral's name for it is "partial 16S ribosomal RNA". It matches the Rfam family "Bacterial small subunit ribosomal RNA", at positions 356 to 1375 of the family's 1533-position model. The record is from RNAcentral.
UGGGAAUUUUGGACAAUGGGCGCAAGCCUGAUCCAGCCAUGCCGCGUGCGGGAAGAAGGCCUUCGGGUUGUAAACCGCUUUUGUCAGGGAAGAAAUCUUCUGAGUUAAUACCUCGGGAGGAUGACGGUACCUGAAGAAUAAGCACCGGCUAACUACGUGCCAGCAGCCGCGGUAAUACGUAGGGUGCAAGCGUUAAUCGGAAUUACUGGGCGUAAAGCGUGCGCAGGCGGUUUUGUAAGACAGAGGUGAAAUCCCCGGGCUCAACCUGGGAACUGCCUUUGUGACUGCAAGGCUUGAGUGCGGCAGAGGGGGAUGGAAUUCCGCGUGUAGCAGUGAAAUGCGUAGAUAUGCGGAGGAACACCGAUGGCGAAGGCAACCCCCUGGGCCUGCACUGACGCUCAUGCACGAAAGCGUGGGGAGCAAACGGGAUUAGAUACCCUGGUAGUCCACGCCCUAAACGAUGUCAACUGGUUGUUGGGAAGGUUCCUUCUCAGUAACGUAGCUAACGCGUGAAGUUGACCGCCUGGGGAGUACGCCGCAAGGUUGAAACUCAAAGUGAAUUGACGGGGUCAUAGCUGUUUCCU